GUAUAUACAUGUAUUUGUAACACAAGUAUAAAGUUAUGUUUAUUAAUAUUAUUAUGAUGAAGAGAUGAAUUACAACAAAUUUUAGAAUAAAGUUUAGGCAGGAUGUUUGCGAAUUGAUAUUUGUAUUUGACAAUUGAAUUUGGUACUCUUCUCAUCUUAAAACGAACGAGUUCGAACUAUAACUUUUCAAGGCCCUCAGCUACUGAACAUGAGAAAACAGUGCCCGUAGCUGACUUUAUGCAGAUGGAAAAGCUUAACGGUAUUGAGUGACUCAUAGUGGAAAUUGUAACGAAAAUGUAUAUAAAUACUCAUGCUUGGUGAAUGGUUAUCAAAGCUUUCCAGUAAAUCGCAAAACAAGUUUAGCUAUGAAACUCUACCUGCUAACAAUUUUUGCCGUGUUGGUCCUUUUGGUCCUUCCACCGGCCGCAAAUGC
Molecule: long non-coding RNA, 433 nt
Organism: Bactrocera neohumeralis
Lineage: Eukaryota; Metazoa; Arthropoda; Insecta; Diptera; Tephritidae
Exons: 2
Source: RefSeq, a predicted model, not a curated record